Molecule: long non-coding RNA, 949 nt
Organism: Diabrotica virgifera virgifera (western corn rootworm)
Lineage: Eukaryota; Metazoa; Arthropoda; Insecta; Coleoptera; Chrysomelidae
Exons: 2
Source: RefSeq, a predicted model, not a curated record
AGAAUCUACAGGUCGAGCAAGUCUCGUAAAUUUCACGAUUGCGAGCCACGCUUCACGCAACCGUGUUUGCGUACUUGUGUUUCGAGUUGCGUGGUCGUGCGGAGUUAUAUUUACCAAAUUUAAAUGUAAUCGUUUCUACUGAUGACUGAUAAUAAUAUACUAUUCUCAAUAUGGCUACUGGGUGUAAAAGAUAAAUCUUAUUCUAUCUGUUCUUCAUGAGUUUUAGAUAAUUUUAGUUGUAUUUCUUUGUAAUUUUGUGUUGUACAAAGAUUAAUUUAACAUUUUCUCUGGAAGUAUUAAUUUAGAAAGAUAAUAUGCUUCAUUGGUGUUGUGUUUUGAAGUGUGAAAUGCAAAGUAAUUGUGAUAAAGUCAAGAUAAAGUUCACUUUUAAACUGAACUAAAUAAGGUAUCUGAGAGACAACAAUGGUUAAAUGCAAUACAAUGUACAGGUUUUACUAGCGAAAUGAAAAUUUUCCUGUCCUGUCUGCUGUAAUCAUUUUAUAUCUGGUAAGUUACAAUUACAACAGUAACGAUUUUUGAAGAUGUUAACAUUUUAAUCUUAUAGGAAAAUAGGAAAACCAGCCGACUUAAUCGAUAAUAACAAUCUCCAGAUUGGGUUCCUUCAAUAAAUAUGGGCUAUAAACACAAUGAAAUAAGUUCCCCAAAAUCUAAAAUGGAGUGCUAUCAAAGGAGAAUUAAAGGAAAAAAUAUUCAUAUUGAAAUUAUUUAUAAGGCACUGGACUGUCUUAAAUUCUACAAUAAUACUAGAAUCAGCUGAGAGAAGUGGUCUACAAAAAACCAGGAAGGAAACGGAAUAUGUGGCUACGAAAGGCAAAAGAAAGGUUUACAAAGCAAAUGUGACACAUUUUUUUGAAAUAUUUAGGAAUAUCAGUAAAUUGCAUUAAAAAAUGUAUGAAAAGAUUUUGUUCAAUAAAAAUGUUUAUAUUUA